This 619-nucleotide ribosomal RNA is filed under the name uncultured bacterium. RNAcentral describes it as "bacterial SSU rRNA". The stretch from base 1 to 538 matches the Rfam family "Bacterial small subunit ribosomal RNA", at positions 338 to 873 of the family's 1533-position model. The record is from RNAcentral.
CCUACGGGAGGCAGCAGUGGGGAAUUUUGGACAAUGGGCGAAAGCCUGAUCCAGCCAUUCCGCGUGCAGGAUGAAGGCCCUCGGGUUGUAAACUGCUUUUGUACAGAACGAAAAGGUUUCUAUUAAUACUAGGAGCUCAUGACGGUACUGUAAGAAUAAGCACCGGCUAACUACGUGCCAGCAGCCGCGGUAAUACGUAGGGUGCAAGCGUUAAUCGGAAUUACUGGGCGUAAAGCGUGCGCAGGCGGUUAUAUAAGUCAGAUGUGAAAUCCCCGGGCUCAACCUGGGAACUGCAUUUGAGACUGUAUAGCUAGAGUACGGUAGAGGGGGAUGGAAUUCCGCGUGUAGCAGUGAAAUGCGUAGAUAUGCGGAGGAACACCGAUGGCGAAGGCAAUCCCCUGGACCUGUACUGACGCUCAUGCACGAAAGCGUGGGGAGCAAACAGGAUUAGAUACCCUGGUAGUCCACGCCCUAAACGAUGUCAACUGGUUGUUGGGUCUUAACUGACUCAGUACAAAGCUAACGCGNGAGUGACGCGNGGAGGUAACGGUCGCGAGUUAGUAACGUUACGAAGAAGUUAGNGGCGNGAGAGNGCGACGGACGACGACGAGGGAGGAGG